Molecule: ribosomal RNA, 254 nt
Filed under: uncultured bacterium
Lineage: Bacteria
Description: partial 16S ribosomal RNA
Rfam family: Bacterial small subunit ribosomal RNA
Source: RNAcentral
UACGUAGGGUGCAAGCGUUAAUCGGAAUUACUGGGCGUAAAGAGUUGCGUAGGCGGCAUUGUAAGCAGGUAGUGAAAUCGUGUGGCUCAACCAUACUCACAUUACCUGAACUGCAAAGCUAGAGGACAAGAGAGGUCACUGGAAUUCCUAGUGUAGGAGUGAAAUCCGUAGAUAUUAGGAGGAACACCGAUGGCGUAGGCAGGUGACUGGCUUGUUCCUGACGCUCAGGCACGAAAGCGUGGGUAGCAAACGGG